GUUCGGAAUUACUGGGCGUAAAGGGCGCGUAGGCGGCCUUCUAAGUCGAACGUGAAAUCCCCGGGCUCAACCCGGGAACUGCGUCCGAUACUGGAAGGCUUGAAUCCGGGAGAGGGAUGUGGAAUUCCAGGUGUAGCGGUGAAAUGCGUAGAUAUCUGGAGGAACACCGGUGGCGAAGGCGACAUCCUGGACCGGUAUUGACGCUGAGGCGCGAAAGCCAGGGGAGCAAACGGG
This 234-nucleotide ribosomal RNA is filed under the name uncultured bacterium. Its description in RNAcentral is "partial 16S ribosomal RNA". It matches the Rfam family "Bacterial small subunit ribosomal RNA", at positions 543 to 776 of the family's 1533-position model. The record is from RNAcentral.